UACAGAGGUGGCAAGCGUUGUUCGGAAUUACUGAGCGUAAAGGGCGCGUAGGCGGCCAUCUAAGUCAGACGUGAAAUCCCCCGGCUUAACCUGGGAACUGCGUCUGAUACUGGAAGGCUUGAGUAUGGGAGAGGGAUGUAGAAUUCCAGGUGUAGCGGUGAAAUGCGUAGAUAUCUGGAGGAAUACCGGUGGCGAAGGCGGCAUCCUGGACCAUUACUGACGCUGAGGCGCGAAAGCUAGGGGAGCAAACGGG
RNAcentral lists this ribosomal RNA (253 nucleotides) under uncultured bacterium. Its description in RNAcentral is "partial 16S ribosomal RNA". It matches the Rfam family "Bacterial small subunit ribosomal RNA", at positions 524 to 776 of the family's 1533-position model. The record is from RNAcentral.